This 227-nucleotide long non-coding RNA is filed under the name Elaeis guineensis (African oil palm). RNAcentral describes it as "long non-coding RNA (EGUI_LNC057224)". Lineage: Eukaryota; Viridiplantae; Streptophyta; Magnoliopsida; Arecales; Arecaceae. The record is from RNAcentral.
AAGCCUAGGGCCGAGAUGACUCAUUAGGCCGACGAUAUUCCAAGUCCACCAAGUAUUGACAGAAAAAAGUGUUGCUCGUUGCAUUGCUACUCCAAAAAGAACAGCACGGGAUGAAGCAAAUGCGGUGCAUAAUUUUUUAAUCAUCUGCUCCUCAACAAAUUUGAUCAUGUUGUUUUAUUCCAAUGAAACCAAGGCUUAUAACAUAGCUUAUUAACUUUCUAGUCUUG